This 468-nucleotide ribosomal RNA is filed under the name uncultured bacterium. Its description in RNAcentral is "partial 16S ribosomal RNA". It matches the Rfam family "Bacterial small subunit ribosomal RNA", at positions 28 to 507 of the family's 1533-position model. The record is from RNAcentral.
GACGAACGCUGGCGGCGUGCUUAACACAUGCAAGUCGAACGGAAAGGCCCUGCUUUUGUGGGGUGCUCGAGUGGCGAACGGGUGAGUAACACGGGAGUAACCUGCCCUUGACUUUGGGAUAACUUCAGGAAACGGGGGCUAAUACCGGAUAGGAGCUCCUGCUGCAUGGUGGGGGUUGGAAAGUUUCGGCGGUUGGGGAUGGACUCGCGGCUUAUCAGCUUGUUGGUGGGGUAGUGGCUUACCAAGGCUUUGACGGGUAGCCGGCCUGAGAGGGUGACCGGCCCCAUGGGGCCUGAGAUAGGCCCCAGACUCCUACGGGAGGCAGCAGUGGGAAAUAUUGCCCAAUGGGCGGAAGCCUGAUGCGGCAACGCCGCGGGCGGGAUGACGGCCUUCGGGUUGAAAACCGCUUUCGCCUGUGACGAAGCGUGAGUGACGGUAAUGAGUAAAGAAGCACCGGCUAACUACGUG